This 24-nucleotide unclassified non-coding RNA is filed under the name Mus musculus (house mouse). RNAcentral describes it as "oocyte_clustered_small_RNA11747". Lineage: Eukaryota; Metazoa; Chordata; Mammalia; Rodentia; Muridae. The record is from RNAcentral.
UGUAAGCCGGAUAAACCCUUUCCU